CCUACGGGAGGCAGCAGUGAGGAAUAUUGCUCAAUGGGCGAGAGCCUGAUCCAGCCAAGUCGCGUGAAGGAUGAAGGAUCUCUGGUUUGUAAACUUCUUUUAUAUGGGAAUAAAGUGAGGAACGUGUUCCUUUUUGUAUGUACUAUAUGAAUAAGGAUCGGCUAACUCCGUGCCAGCAGCCGCGGUAAUACGGAGGAUGCGAGCGUUAUCCGGAUUUAUUGGGUUUAACGGGCGCGUAGGUGGUUAAUUAAGUCAGCGGUGAAAGUUUGUGGCUCAACCCUAAAAUUGCAGUUGAAACUGGUUGGCUUGAGUAUAUUUGAGGUAGGCGGAAUGCGUGGUGUAGCGGUGAAAUGCAUAGAUAUCACGAAGAACUCCGAUUGCGAAGGCAGCUUACUAAACUAUAACUGACACUGAAGCACGAAAGCGUGGGGAUCAAACAGGAUUAGAUACCCGUGUAGUC
This 460-nucleotide ribosomal RNA is filed under the name uncultured bacterium. RNAcentral describes it as "partial 16S ribosomal RNA". It matches the Rfam family "Bacterial small subunit ribosomal RNA", at positions 338 to 795 of the family's 1533-position model. The record is from RNAcentral.